UGUAGGACGACCAGGGGCAGAAGCUGUAAAUAUGCCCAUUAUUGAGGGCAAAAUCAUAAUUAUAUCUAGUAGAUAUUUAGCUGUCCUUUCUCCAAAAUAUUCUAGAAACAACUACAUGUCCUUCAACUCUCGAGAAUACUUGGAACACCGCUUUCACCGUCAUCGGCGGCGACACAAUAACAAUCGAAAAUGAUAUUUCGGAAGGUUUUCAGGCGCCGGUGUCUCCGCCAUUUGGACGAUUCAAGGUUGCAGCUCUUUCAUUAUUGGUUCAAUGCAUGAAAAAACUUGAAAGCUAGCUUUCACCACUGCACUAUCUCUUUGCGUCAACACUUAUGUUUUUGGAAAGCUGAAUCGGAGACAAACAACAAUAUGCACGAUGCUCGAUGGUUUAAAAAUGGUGUCAUAUGAACAAGGUUUGGUCUCCUCCACUCUAAUGAUAGCAUAGCUUGAUCAUAACCUUUUCUUCCAAUCCAUGCUCAAGAUGCUGUAUUCAAAGGCGCAUUUGAAGAAAACUUCAGUAAAAGUUGUCCAGGUACACAAUUCAAGACUUCUCAAGACGGACAGAUCUGGUGUCUUACCUUAGACCAAGUAUUAGAUUGUGGAUUCAUGACCAAGCAGAGCUAUAGAUUUGGUUGGUUUAGCACAAAGUUGAAAUUAGUAGGAGGUGACUCUGUUGUUGUUGUGACAACAUUUUAUAUAUGUUCAGAAGUAGAGGCAAGGCCAUUGAGAGAUGAGAUAGAUUUUGAGUUCUUGGGAAACAGAACAGGGCAGUCUUACCUUAUUCAAACAAAUGUGUACAAUGGUUGUGGUGGACGUGAGAUGAGGCAUCAACUAUGGUUUGACCCAAAUCCGUUAUCGAAUUUCUUAUGAAUCCGAAUCCGAACUCACAGUCUUCAACCCCGCCUACUUCUCCGUCUGCUCAAUCUGAUCCCGAUUCGACAACACAUCCUGGAGUUCUUCUAGAUCUUUCGUUCAAUGAUUCGGAGCUUAUUCUUAGCGCUUUGAUUAACGCUGUGGUUUUGGUCAUCUGAAGAUUACUGAAGCUGCCCUUGAUGCUGUGCAGAAGCUGCCCUUGAUGCUGUGCAGAAGCUCAUUGCUCAUGGUUAUCUUAGGGGUGAAGCGAGCCCACUUGGGCUCCAGAUGCGAAGCUUCUAUCGAAAUUGAUUGGGUCUGUUUGUAAAUGUCAUGAUUUGGGCGAUGAUGCGGUGGAAUUGCUUGUAAUUAAGUCUAUUUUAUCUGCUGUGACGUCGGUUUUGAUUCGAAUACAUGGGGAUUCUUUGUUGCAGGUUGUUAGGACGUGUUAUGAUAUUUGUUUGGAGAGUAAGAAUGUGGUGAAUCCGACGACGGCUAAGGCUUCAUUGGUACAAAUAUUGGUGAUUGUUUUUUGGAGAAUGGAGGCAGAUUCGUCCACGGUGCCAUUGCAGCCUAUUGUUGUCACGGAGUUAAUGGAACCAGCUGAAAAAGCUGAUGCUGAUGGAUAAAUGACAUUGUUUGUUCAGGGGUUUAUAACUAAAGUGUUGCAAGACAUUGAUAGAGUUUUCAAUGCAGGGACUCUGAGGGUUAGUGCUACACCUACUGGUGCUUGUGAUGAGGCAUUUUGAUAACUACAUCAACCGUGGAGUCGACGAAUCCUGCUGAUCUUUUGGAUUCCACGGAUAAAGAUAUGUUGGAUGUGAAGUAUUGGGGGAUUAGCAUGUAUAAGAUGACGUUGGAAGGGCAAAAAAGGAGAGCUGGUGGACGGGGAGGGAGAAAGGGAUGAUGAUUUGGAGGUUCAAAUUCGGAAUAACUUGAGAAGGGAUGCAUUGUUAGUGUUCAGGGCUUUAUGUAAGUUCUCAAUGAAGACCCCACCCAAGGAGGCCGCAGCAGAUCCACAGUUAAUGAGGCGCAAGAUUGUGGCGUUGGAGCUGCUUAAGAUAUUGUUGGAGAAUGCUGGAGCAAUAUUUAGGACAAGUGACAGGCAUUUACCUACCAUUCUGAUUUAAAUCUUUUUUAUACCUUAAUUACUUGUGUAAUUGCUCGUUUAUAUUCUAAUAAUUGUACCAUGGUUCUUAUUUCUGAGUAUUGUUUUUCUGUCAUUGGUUCAUUUUUUGUUGCAUAAAUGUGUCAAUGGCACACGUCUAUUUUUGCUACUUGAUCUAACUUAUAAAGUACUACUCUUUUUUAAAUCGGUAUUUACAAAGUACUGUUCUCAGUGCUCCAAAUGAAAAAAUGUUAUUUGUUGCUCUUAUAUGCUCUUAAGCUAAGGUAAUACCAAUCAAUAUACAAAGUCCAAAAAGUUGCUUACUCUAAUACAAUGAGUCCAAUUGCUUUCCAACUUCAUUUGUCCUUGAAAUGUUAUAUGCUUCCUUUUCCUAUUUCCCUACACCAUAUAUUUAGUUUACAUAUUCUUGGUAGCAUAGUUUUUAGACUAUUCCCGGGGAAUAAAAAGGAUUUGCAAAAUAUAAAUCAGUUGUCAACAUAUGAGCAUCUACGCCGUUUGUGCUGCUAAAAGUUUGAAAGUGACCUUUACUUGCUUGGACAACGGCUCCAAGUCUAUAUUGACUAAAAAUCAACUAAAAGAAAAGAAGAGAAAAUAGAUUUGUCGUAUCUUACCUUACGUUGGAGAGUGGAAGCUUACUGUCGUCACUCAGCUCAUGUUCGGUCAUGAUCAUGUGCUUCCACUUAGUUGGGGAAACAUAUAGGGUUGCGCAACACUAUGAUAUUUCUGACAAACAUUCACCUUUCUGUGAUUUGGAUAUCCUAAACUAUUUGAAGCUGUCAAACCUAAAGCUUAUACGGCCGAACAACUCUUUAGGCUUCCUUUGUUAAUGUGGAGAGAUCUUGAAUUUUACAUCCUUCAAUGCUUUCUUUGGGGGAAGAAUUACGUUUUUGUAAAUCAAGGAUGCACUCUUGAGGUCUAUUGGUAAUGCUAUGAGUAAUGUCAUGAGGAACGGAAACCUUCCGACUUUUUUUCAACGCCUGUUUUUUGGUACAAUAGUGAUGUAAUAAUGUCAACUAACUUGCCAUUGUUCUUUCUUCUUUUUUUCUUAAUGAAGUAUGGAAAUCUUGUUAGGAGGCAUCAAGAAGAUGCAAGGAAAAAAAUUACAGCAAAAGAAGAUGUCUAUUCCUAUACAAGAACUUACUGAAUAACUGAAGAGCAGACAUAAUCCCAAAAAAGUUCAACAAUAGUUACAGGGCCUGGUUGAACCAACUAUAUAAGUUGACCAAACAAUUGGAUUUAAGAAUGUGGUUAGGAGUUCAAAUCCCAGCAAAACAUCUGAAUGGGUCUCCCAACUCUCAAUGAACUCCAAGUUCUCAUAGGCUUCUUUAAUAGUAUUUGGCAUGACCCCAACAAGUUCAAAAACUAAUAAAAACAUACUCCAUAUGUCAGCUACUAUAGCACAAUGCAAGAAUAGAUGCCUCAACACUCUCCAACUCCACCUAUGGCACAUAUAACUUCUAUUUACAAUCUGAAUAUUUCUUUUCCAGAGAUUGUGUUGGGUAAGACAUGCUUCAUACAAGGUAGCCAAGAUAAAACUAACUAUGUUUGGGGGUAGUUUAGUAUCAACAAUCUUAAAUACCUUAUGAUUCUUGCUGAAGCAGGUGAAGGCAAAGCUGUUACAGGAGCAAGCGUUCAGAGAAGAAGGCAUUACCAGUGAAAUAUACUUUUUAACUUAAGGUACGAGAGUAAAGAUGCCACAAUCAUGGGAAAAAGAUCAGUCAAUGAUGAAUGUACAACAACCACUACAAUGUACUCAGUAUAAUUCUACAAAGUGGGUCUAGGGAAGGUAAACUCAGUAUAAUUCCACAAAGUGGGUCUAGGGAAGGACCCAGAGGAUGAU
Capsicum annuum is the source of this 3821-nucleotide long non-coding RNA. RefSeq lists it as uncharacterized. The record is from RefSeq and is a predicted model, not a curated record. NCBI's taxonomy places the organism in Eukaryota, Viridiplantae, Streptophyta, Magnoliopsida, Solanales, Solanaceae. The transcript has 7 exons.